GCCUGGCUGGUUUAGUCAGUAGAGCACAUGACUCUUGAUCUUAGGGUUGUGAGUUCAAGCCCAUGUUGGGCA
RNAcentral lists this transfer RNA (72 nucleotides) under Ailuropoda melanoleuca (giant panda). It matches the Rfam family "tRNA". Rfam says of the family: Transfer RNA (tRNA) molecules are approximately 80 nucleotides in length. The record is from Rfam by way of RNAcentral. Lineage: Eukaryota; Metazoa; Chordata; Mammalia; Carnivora; Ursidae.